Molecule: unclassified non-coding RNA, 332 nt
Filed under: fungal sp.
Lineage: Eukaryota; Fungi
Description: partial internal transcribed spacer region
Rfam family: Eukaryotic small subunit ribosomal RNA (bases 1-46)
Source: RNAcentral
AAGUCGUAACAAGGUCUCCGUAGGUGAACCUGCGGAGGGAUCAUUAACAUACACAAAAUAUAUACAUAUAUAUUAUAUACUACAUAUAUAUAUAUUUGUAUAUACUAUACACCCAUGAACCUAUAUAUAUCACUCAACCCUUGGUAUGAGUGGGGACAUGUAGCUCCUCUCACUCACUUCUGAGUGUUUUUCCUAUAUGUAUCCCCCACUCAUGCCUCCCCAUUUCUCAACCCAUAUUUUUUCUCCUCACCUAUAUAUAUCUAUGUAUAUAAUACACUACAAUAUACUUAUAAAUCUAUAUAUCACUCCUAGCAAUGGAUAUCUAGGUUCUC